CAUAAGAUACAGAAACCCUUCAGCUGUGAGUUUGACAAUGAGGAACAGCAAAAACAAGUCUAUGAUUUUAACUAAAAUGUGCAGAUUCAUCAUACUGUGAGGAUUUUAAAAUGUACAGACAGGACAC
Long non-coding RNA from Xiphophorus couchianus (Monterrey platyfish), 127 nucleotides. RefSeq lists it as uncharacterized. The transcript is spliced from 3 exons. NCBI's taxonomy places the organism in Eukaryota, Metazoa, Chordata, Actinopteri, Cyprinodontiformes, Poeciliidae. The record is from RefSeq and is a predicted model, not a curated record.